CUUACCAGGGCUUGACAUAUACAGGACGCUGCUAGAGAUAGCAGUUUCUCUUCGGAGACUUGUUUACAGGUGCUGCAUGGUUGUCGUCAGCUCGUGCCGUGAGGUGUUGGGUUAAGUCCCGCAACGAGCGCAACCCCUGUUGUCUGUUACCAUCAUUAAGUUGGGGACUCAGGCAAGACUGCCGGUGACAAACCGGAGGAAGGUGGGGAUGACGUCAAAUCAUCAUGGCCCUUAUGUCCUGGGCUACACACGUGCUACAAUGGCCGGUACAAAGUGAUGCGAAGCAGCGAUGUGGAGCAAAACGCAGAAAGCCGGUCUCAGUUCGGAUUGGAGUCUGAAACUCGACUCCAUGAAGGUGGAAUCGCUAGUAAUCGCGCAUCAGCAUGGCGCGGUGAAUACGUUCCCUGGCCUUGUACACACCGCCCGUCACACCACCCGAGUCGGGGGUACCCGAAGUCAGCAGGCUAACCUAUCAGGAGGCCACUGCCGAAGGUAUGCUCGGUAAGGGGGGUGAAGUCGUAACAAGGUAGA
Molecule: ribosomal RNA, 531 nt
Filed under: uncultured spirochete
Lineage: Bacteria; Pseudomonadati; Spirochaetota; Spirochaetia; Spirochaetales
Description: bacterial SSU rRNA
Rfam family: Bacterial small subunit ribosomal RNA
Source: RNAcentral